RNAcentral lists this long non-coding RNA (445 nucleotides) under Heterocephalus glaber (naked mole-rat). Its description in RNAcentral is "lncRNA (ENSHGLG00000050980.1)". The record is from RNAcentral. Lineage: Eukaryota; Metazoa; Chordata; Mammalia; Rodentia; Bathyergidae.
GCAAGGCCCUGUUGGUAGGCGACCCCAAUCUCAGAACAAAGGCGAAUGUAGCCGGAAAGCUUUCUUCUUUCAGAGGAUUCUUUCAUCAGUUUCAUAACAUUCUGAACCAAAGAAUCUCUCUAGAUGUAGCUAAACAUAUAUACCAUGAAGGAGUGAACUCUAUCUGAUCACUGGAAGCAGUGUCAAUGAAGACAACGUUGAUUUUCAGAUUGUUUCCAGUUGUUCAAUGUUUCAGACAAUGCUGCAGGAAACAUUCUAAUACACGCCUCUUAUAUCAGGAGUGGGUUCACAGUUGUGACAUUCUUCAUGAGUCACAGAGUUGCCUAAAAGCCAUCAUCAAAUUGUCUCCCAAGUGCAUUAAUUUACACAAUCGUCAACCACCUCACAGUUUCUAUUUCCUCAUGUCAUUGCCAAUAUUUAUAAUUUUAGUACUUUAAUGUUUUCC